AUCCCAAGGUGUGGAUAGGCAACAACAUACUCUUGAAAUUUCUCCCAAGCAUCGGCAAUGGAUUCCUCAGCUUGUUGUGUAAAACUAGAGAUUUUAUUGCGAAGAGC
Molecule: small nucleolar RNA, 107 nt
Filed under: Sorghum bicolor (sorghum)
Lineage: Eukaryota; Viridiplantae; Streptophyta; Magnoliopsida; Poales; Poaceae
Description: Plant small nucleolar RNA R71
Rfam family: Plant small nucleolar RNA R71
About the family: R71 is a member of the C/D box family of snoRNAs containing the C (UGAUGA) and D (CUGA) box motifs.
Source: Rfam by way of RNAcentral